GGCGGCGUGCCUAAUACAUGCAAGUCGAACGAGUUCUCGUUGAUGAUCGGUGCUUGCACCGAGAUUCAACAUGGAACGAGUGGCGGACGGGUGAGUAACACGUGGGUAACCUGCCCUUAAGUGGGGGAUAACAUUUGGAAACAGAUGCUAAUACCGCAUAGAUCCAAGAACCGCAUGGUUCUUGGCUGAAAGAUGGCGUAAGCUAUCGCUUUUGGAUGGACCCGCGGCGUAUUAGCUAGUUGGUGAGGUAAUGGCUCACCAAGGCGAUGAUACGUAGCCGAACUGAGAGGUUGAUCGGCCACAUUGGGACUGAGACACGGCCCAAACUCCUACGGGAGGCAGCAGUAGGGAAUCUUCCACAAUGGACGCAAGUCUGAUGGAGCAACGCCGCGUGAGUGAAGAAGGCUUUCGGGUCGUAAAACUCUGUUGUUGGAGAAGAAUGGUCGGCAGAGUAACUGUUGUCGGCGUGACGGUAUCCAACCAGAAAGCCACGGCUAACUACGUGCCAGCAGCCGCGGUAAUACGUAGGUGGCAAGCGUUAUCCGGAUUUAUUGGGCGUAAAGCGAGCGCAGGCGGUUUUUUAAGUCUGAUGUGAAAGCCCUCGGCUUAACCGAGGAAGCGCAUCGGAAACUGGGAAACUUGAGUGCAGAAGAGGACAGUGGAACUCCAUGUGUAGCGGUGAAAUGCGUAGAUAUAUGGAAGAACACCAGUGGCGAAGGCGGCUGUCUGGUCUGUAACUGACGCUGAGGCUCGAAAGCAUGGGUAGCGAACAGGAUUAGAUACCCUGGUAGUCCAUGCCGUAAACGAUGAAUGCUAGGUGUUGGAGGGUUUCCGCCCUUCAGUGCCGCAGCUAACGCAUUAAGCAUUCCGCCUGGGGAGUACGACCGCAAGGUUGAAACUCAAAGGAAUUGACGGGGGCCCGCACAAGCGGUGGAGCAUGUGGUUUAAUUCGAAGCAACGCGAAGAACCUUACCAGGUCUUGACAUCUUUUGAUCACCUGAGAGAUCAGGUUUCCCCUUCGGGGGCAAAAUGACAGGUGGUGCAUGGUUGUCGUCAGCUCGUGUCGUGAGAUGUUGGGUUAAGUCCCGCAACGAGCGCAACCCUUAUGACUAGUUGCCAGCAUUUAGUUGGGCACUCUAGUAAGACUGCCGGUGACAAACCGGAGGAAGGUGGGGAUGACGUCAAAUCAUCAUGCCCCUUAUGACCUGGGCUACACACGUGCUACAAUGGAUGGUACAACGAGUUGCGAGACCGCGAGGUCAAGCUAAUCUCUUAAAGCCAUUCUCAGUUCGGACUGUAGGCUGCAACUCGCCUACACGAAGUCGGAAUCGCUAGUAAUCGCGGAUCAGCACGCCGCGGUGAAUACGUUCCCGGGCCUUGUACACACCGCCCGUCACACCAUGAGAGUUUGUAACACCCGAAGCCGGUGGCGUAACCCUUUUAGGGAGCGAGCCGUCUAAGGUGACAAU
This 1469-nucleotide ribosomal RNA is filed under the name Lacticaseibacillus casei. RNAcentral's name for it is "bacterial SSU rRNA". It matches the Rfam family "Bacterial small subunit ribosomal RNA". The record is from RNAcentral. Lineage: Bacteria; Bacillati; Bacillota; Bacilli; Lactobacillales; Lactobacillaceae.